CACGUGUUCCAACGGUUAACACGUGUCAGAAUCAUACAUUGAUCACACAGUAGCGUCCCACCGUACAGAUCUCUCCUUCUCCACUAGCUCUGAAGUUGCGGUCCUAUAGCGCACCAAAGACCAUAAACGCAUACACAGGGUAAGCAAAGAAAGAGAGAGAGAGAAUGGAAGGAGGUAGGAGAGUGGGUGUGGCAGUGGAUUUCUCGCCUUGCAGCAGGAAAGCUCUAAACUGGGCGGUGGAUAACCUCGUCCGCGACGGGGAUCACCUUAUCCUAAUUGCCAUACGCCCGGAAGGGAACUAUGAAGAGGGAGAGAUGCAACUCUGGGAGGUCACUGGUUCCCCUUUAAUCCCUAUUCAUGAGUUUUCUGAUCCUGCGAUUAUGAAGAAGUAUGGACUGAAGCCUGAUCCAGAAACC
This 416-nucleotide unclassified non-coding RNA is filed under the name Hevea brasiliensis (rubber tree). The record is from RNAcentral. Lineage: Eukaryota; Viridiplantae; Streptophyta; Magnoliopsida; Malpighiales; Euphorbiaceae.